GGGGGAGAUGAGCCGCAACACAUGCUCCCAGUUAUGGCUGAAAGUGGAAACACUCCACCCAGAUUAGGAGUGCCUUCACAGCUGAUACAAACUGACCUAUUUAUGUUGUAAGAAAUUAAAUAAAGAGGGGAGAGAAGGAAGAGGGAGUUUGGGUUUUUUUUUUUGCAGUACUUUGUGUGGCUGAAAAGGGCUGGUGAGUUUGUUUUGUGCAGUCUAAAAAAGGCCUGGCCAUUGGGAUGGCAGGGAAAGACCUGCCUUGAAAUGUUUUGUUACUGCAUUCAAAGGUCAAUUGCUUCAAGUAAAGCUAAAGCAGUUAUAGAUUAAAAUUCUGGAUUGAAGUUUCAAAGGUGCUUUUAAGCAUUUCUAAAGAAACUCUGGAUGAGGAAUAAAGUAAGCUCCUAUUGAAUGUGUCUUGAAGUAUUAUAGUUCAACUCCUGGUCAGAUGCCCUGAUAAUAGCCUAUUCAUUCCUAAUUCUCUGAACAUUGUCAAUCUUAUCCUUAAUGCAAAGGACUCUGUGCUGCCCUCAUAAGUACCAUCCAGGGUGCUUUAUCAAAUAAAACAAUAGUCUAUUUUCUAUAACCAGUUAUAUCUGCCACUAUGGCAGCUAAGUACAUCUGGCUGCUACAAUAAGAAAAUGUAAAAUCACAAACACUUUACUCUAGCCAGCAAGCUGUUUCCUGAUGAUGCUUUCAAAAUGGAAAUUUACUUCUGCUUCAUUGUACAAAUAUCCAUAUGCUGUGUUUUUUCAGUAUUUAUGUCAGCUGAUGCAACCCUUCACAGCUUUUUGUUGUGCUGCUUAAUGCAACUAGUUUUAAAGAUUUGUCAUCUUGAUUGUAGCCAGUCUGAAAGAUAAUUACCUUAAUAGCAGCUCUACACAAAACAAGCUAGGAAGGAUCUUGCACAGUAUGAAUGUGCCUUGCUUUUGGAUUAUUUGAACAGAAUAUGAGAACAAUUGCAAGAAUCCCUUGGAUUUAUUAAUUAUGUGAUCAAAAGAUUUUCGAAAUGAGGAAAUAAUUGCCUCUUGCUUCUCCUGCCUAUAACAAUAAAAGUCUACAGAUGCUGUGGAAAAAGCA
This 1074-nucleotide long non-coding RNA is filed under the name Cyanistes caeruleus (blue tit). Its description in RNAcentral is "lncRNA (ENSCCEG00000016167.1)". Lineage: Eukaryota; Metazoa; Chordata; Aves; Passeriformes; Paridae. The record is from RNAcentral.